Molecule: ribosomal RNA, 254 nt
Filed under: uncultured bacterium
Lineage: Bacteria
Description: partial 16S ribosomal RNA
Rfam family: Bacterial small subunit ribosomal RNA
Source: RNAcentral
UACGGGGGGGGUAAGCGUUGUUCGGAAUUACUGGGCGUAAAGGGCUCGUAGGCGGCCAACUAAGUCAGACGUGAAAUCCCUCAGCUUAACUGGGGAACUGCGUCUGAUACUGGAUGGCUUGGAUUCGGGAGAGGAAUGCGGAAUUCCAGGUGUAGCGGUGAAAUGCGUAGAUAUCUGGAGGAACACCGGUGGCGAAGGCGGCAUUCUGGACCGAUAUUGACGCUGAGGAGCGAAAGCCAGGGGAGCAAACGGGG